UGGGGAAUAUUGCACAAUGGGCGCAAGCCUGAUGCAGCCAUGCCGCGUGUGUGAAGAAGGCCUUCGGGUUGUAAAGCACUUUCAGCGAGGAGGAAGGUGGUGAGCUUAAUACGCUCAUCAAUUGACGUUACUCGCAGAAGAAGCACCGGCUAACUCCGUGCCAGCAGCCGCGGUAAUACGGAGGGUGCAAGCGUUAAUCGGAAUUACUGGGCGUAAAGCGCACGCAGGCGGUUUGUUAAGUCAGAUGUGAAAUCCCCGGGCUCAACCUGGGAACUGCAUUUGAAACUGGCAAGCUAGAGUCUCGUAGAGGGGGGUAGAAAUUCCAGGUGUAGCGGUGAAAUGCGUAGAGAUCUGGAGGAAUACCGGUGGCGAAGGCGGCCCCCCUGGANGAAGACUGACGCUCAGGUGCGAAAA
RNAcentral lists this ribosomal RNA (414 nucleotides) under uncultured bacterium. RNAcentral describes it as "partial 16S ribosomal RNA". It matches the Rfam family "Bacterial small subunit ribosomal RNA", at positions 355 to 759 of the family's 1533-position model. The record is from RNAcentral.